AAGACCCGUGAAGCGCAAGGUUGUAUCUGCCACAAAAUAAAGGAGCACGUCAACCAGGCCAGUCUCCAGACGGGUGAGUGGGGCUGCCCCUCCACCUAGUGACGACAGCGAGGACAUGUGGCACUCCCCAGGUGAGCCUGACACUGAGCCACAAUCUCCUGCGUUUUCACCGAGGCAUCCUCCAGGACCCAGGAUUGACACCACUAAAAUAUGGUCUCCAGUCAACCUCUUCAAACUUUUUUUCAGUGUAAGCACCAUCCAGACUAUUAUGCAGAACACAAAUGAAAAUGCACAAAGAGUAAUUUCAGCAGGGAUAAAAAUUAAAGUGGUCACCUCUUACAGCUGACGACCUCUUUGUCUUCAUGGCCAUUAUAAUAUUCACUGGGUUGGUGCAGGUCUUCUCUAGAGCCAACCUCUGGAGAACAAAGUGGCUGUUCAAAUUCCCGUUUCCACGAGAGAGCAUGACCCUUGAUAGGUUUGAAGCUAUCUUCUGGUGUAUUCAUCUUUCCAACAUCAAAGAAGAUGAAGAAAACCAAAAGAAGAAGAAAGAAGGGAAUGCCUCAGUAUGACAGACUGUUCAAGAUUAAACCUCUCUAUGAUGAGAUAAGGACUGCAUGUAUCUCCAUCUUCCAACCAGGCAGGGAGAUAUGCGUAGAUGAGCGGAUGGUGGCGAGCAAGGCCAGGAUAGGGUUCCGUCAGUACAUGAAGGACAAGCCCACCAAGUUUGGUUACAAACUGUUUGUUUUAGCCGAUUCAUGUUCUGGUUACACAUGGAAUUUUUUCAUCUACGAGGGAAAGACUGAGAAAGUUCAAUGAGAGGGCCUCAGUGUAACAUCAGUUAUGGACCUGAUGGAGUUUGACCUUCUUGGAAAGGGUUAUCACUUUUAUGUAGAUAACUUCUACACCAGUCCUGCACUGUUUCAUAAACUGACAUCUAAUCACACUGACGCAUGUGGAACCAUCCGUCAGACGCGCAUUGGCUUUCCGAAAAGCACAAGGAACUCCCUGCCCAAAUCAGCUGAGAGAGGAGACAUGAGGUAGCUGCGGAACAACGGACUGCUAUUUGUGAAAUGAAAGGACACCAAGGAGAGACCUGUGCAGCCAUCAUCACUUAGUAUCCAAAUGGCCUACAAGCAGAAAACAGAAGAAACAAGCAGGAAGACACUGUCUGGCUGUUACGGUUUACGAGAUAUAGGACCCCAGAAUGCAGACCAGAAGGCAGCAUGACGCCAGGAAUCCCAACCAGACUCUUAACUCCCCAGUACUGGAACUGGAUGACGUGCCAAUUAUGCCUGAGGCGUGUGCAGGGGUUUGGUCUCAGAGGUCCAUGCACCACAUCCUGCCGGGGUUCAUGCAUCAUUGUGAGAGGUUGGCCAUCGGGUGAUGAAGCAUCCAUUGAGCCCUUCCUGGGGCCUUCCCUGGGCCCCUCCCCUACUCCCAGUGACACACUCACGCAGUCGGACAUGAGAGAUUGUCGCAGAAGCUGCAGGGUGCUCGAGAAAAACUCCACUUUAAUGCAUUUGUGAAAUACACAAACACUCUGAGAGCAAGUCAGAGCAAAGAAUAAAAGGCCUUUGGGCAUAAAUCCUG
This is a long non-coding RNA of Girardinichthys multiradiatus, 1590 nucleotides long. RefSeq lists it as uncharacterized. Lineage: Eukaryota; Metazoa; Chordata; Actinopteri; Cyprinodontiformes; Goodeidae. The transcript has 3 exons. The record is from RefSeq and is a predicted model, not a curated record.